GGAUCCGGCGAGGAUCCUGGUUGAAGAACCACCAGCUUCUCGAAAUUUCACAAACCUCUACCCUUUCCGCUGACUUCUCUAACCUAAAUCAAGCGUGCUGCUUCAUCCAAGAACACGAAGUUGCGGACUUUUGUAAUCGGAAUCGCCGACGAUUCCUGUGAUGUCUGGCCUCGAUGUUGGUCUCAAAUGACUCAUCAUCAUCCGAGAUACCUUCUAGGCCCAUUGCAUCAGGGAACCAAGUGCUCCAACAGUUCCAGACUCUGAUUGUGCACCGCCAACUCGCGAACCAAGUGCUAUUUCAGCACCUGCACGAGAUGAACGAAGCGAGAUGGUAUAGUUUUCUGUAAUUUUUACUAUUGCUGUAUGUAAAUGACCAGAUCGAAAUGUCUUUGAUCUCCUUACAAAUUCAGUUCCCUGACUUAUUUUCCUUUUUUCAAUUUGAAUGCAACUUUGUCCAAUCGUAUUUUCUUAUAUGGUUAGCUUCAGAAACCACUACUCCACAAUUUCAGAAAGUUAAAAUUGCCAUCUGCAUCGAAUAUAUGUAAUUUAGUUGUGAUGCGGAAGCUUGAGAGGUCAUCUAGAAAUGCAGCACUAUCUAAUUUAGUUGAUUCAAUCAAAGCAUAAAAGCAAACAACUCACAUACAGCAAUUGUAUCAAGCAACCGGUUAUUCAAUCAAAAGUUAACACAGCAAAAUGUUAACCCAAAACCCUCUCUUAUAUGGCUACAUUGAUGUCAACAACCUUUUAGUUUGUUAGUCUUCACCGGUUCGGUGGCAUCUUUGUAAUGGUCUUCCUUAUGAACCCGGUCUUCUCUCCAGAGGGUCUGCUAAGGGUCCUUUGGUCCGAAAGAGUUUCAGCAGCUAGGCAGUUGCAACACACGUUAAGUACUUCCAUGUGCCUCCUUAUGCUGGGAUUUUGUUAGACAGGUAUGUAUUUUAUCUUCAUAUACUUCAUAGUUUUAUUUAGUUUUGAUAUAUAAUCAACUAGAAACGCAUUCAGUUGAGUGAAUUCUGCAUUGUGACAUACAUGACACUGGAGUUAUGCUCUGUUUGUGAUUAAGGAUGGUUAUGUUUUCUCAUAUUUACAUUAAUACUGUGAAAUGUUGAGUAAAAAUCAAUUUAGGGGAACUAUAUACUGCUAGAGAUGUGCAUAUUAAUCCCGCCUAAAGUAAAAUUUAGAAAUCUGGCAUAGUGAAGAUCCAAUAGAGAAUAUGAGAAACCCAACUUAAUUUUAUGAAUUUGUUUUGGUGCCUACAAAUGAAAUCCGGCAUAGUGAAAGUUUGUGUACCGAAAUUAUCACAAAUUUUCCUUCAUCUUUAGAUUUUCAUUCAAUUCAAUUCAUAUGCAAUUUAGUGUGAUUCAAUUCAUAAGUGAUCAAAUGCUGUUUUUAAUUUCCUUCUUCUUUUGAUUUUCGGUUCAACCUUGUCGUACAAAAUGAAGGAGACGUCAUUAACGGAGUUACAGAUUUGGGUGUCUUUUGUGGAAACAAAACUGGAUUGUUUUAACUUUGUAUAGUUGUAAACAUAAAACAAUCUCUGGGAUACAGCCAUAGCUUUUGAAAGACAAUCCUUUAGGAUGGCAUACCAGCAUUCCCAAUUUUUUCCAUGUAAUAUAUGAACGUAAAUAGCACUUCCUUAACACAUGGAUGUAAUAUAUGUAUAUAAAUACCGCUCUGUGGCACAUAUAUUUUUCGAGACAUCUACAUAUUCAAUAAUGUUUUCAAACUCCACAACAACGCACAGGUACUCUU
Molecule: long non-coding RNA, 1749 nt
Organism: Pyrus x bretschneideri (Chinese white pear)
Lineage: Eukaryota; Viridiplantae; Streptophyta; Magnoliopsida; Rosales; Rosaceae
Exons: 3
Source: RefSeq, a predicted model, not a curated record